This 481-nucleotide ribosomal RNA is filed under the name uncultured bacterium. RNAcentral's name for it is "partial 16S ribosomal RNA". It matches the Rfam family "Bacterial small subunit ribosomal RNA", at positions 28 to 507 of the family's 1533-position model. The record is from RNAcentral.
GAUGAACGCUGGCGGCGUGCUUAACACAUGCCAGUCGAACGAAGCACUUUAUUUGAUUUCCUUCGGGACUGAUUAUUUUGUGACUGAGUGGCGGACGGGUGAGUAACGCGUGGGUAACCUGCCUUGUACAGGGGGAUAACAGUUGGAAACGGCUGCUAAUACCGCAUAAGCGCACAGCAUCGCAUGAUGCAGUGUGAAAAACUCCGGUGGUAUAAGAUGGACCCGCGUUGGAUUAGCUAGUUGGUGAGGUAACGGCGCACCAAGGCGACGAUCCAUAGCCGAACUGAGAGGGUGACCGGCCACAUUGGGACUGAGACACGGCCCAAACUCCUACGGGAGGCAGCAGUGGGGAAUAUUGCACAAUGGGCGAAAGCCUGAUGCAGCGACGCCGCGUGAGCGAAGAAGUAUUUCGGUAUGUAAAGCUCUAUCAGCAGGGAAGAUAAUGACGGUACCUGACGAAGAAGCACCGGCUAAAUACGUG